GUCUGCGGCCACACUACCCUGAACACGCCUGAUCCCAUUUGAUCUCGGAAGCUAAGCGGGCUCAGGGCCUGGUCAGUACUUGGAUGAGAGACCACCUAGGAAGACUGGGUGCUGUAGGUG
This is a ribosomal RNA of Pteropus vampyrus (large flying fox), 120 nucleotides long. The record is from Ensembl. Lineage: Eukaryota; Metazoa; Chordata; Mammalia; Chiroptera; Pteropodidae.